Non-coding RNA from Trametes elegans, 92 nucleotides. The record is from the annotation of a GenBank genome assembly. Lineage: Eukaryota; Fungi; Basidiomycota; Agaricomycetes; Polyporales; Polyporaceae.
GACAUCAUAGCCAAGUGGUUACGGCGACAGAUUCGAAUAUUGUGAUGAUCUGUUUCCCUUUGGGAGCGCAGGUUCGAAUCCUGCUGGUGUGG